AAUUGGACUAGAAAACUUUUUGAUCUGAGGGGAACAAAACAUACAGAAGAAAGCACACCAAAUGUUUACAUAAAAUUGUAGCGCACACUGGGUCUCCUGAAGGACAUCACUGAGUCUUUCUGCGUCCAGACUCCUUACCCUAAGGGUGGGGAUUUCAGAGAUGGAAUAUGAGGAAGAUAAGGCAACAGCAAUAGAUUGGAGAAGUUUCUUUAAAACGAAGGAUUUACAGUCUGUGUUCUUCAAACAACUGCCUCGAGACAGAGCACAGGCAGCGCCUAAUCGGUCAGCCAGCCACCAGUUAAUAAAGCUUCCUCUUUCUGUUCGUUUGCUGCCCAGAACAAUCUGAGAAGCUGAGGAAGCUUGAGAAAAUUCUUAAAGAUAAUCAAAGAGUAAUUACAAUCAUCUUUGUUUCACCGAAAGUUUAAUUAAGAACAGCUAUAGAGAAAACAUAUGUUUCUUAUCCUUCAGUUGUUUUGUAAUCAGCAACAAAAAUGAGAAAGUAGCAACUCAGAAAAUAAAGGAAGCAGGAACAUUUGAAAGAAAGCAAUCUGAGGUGCAGAGGAAAAUCUUUGGUGCAUAAGCUGGAACACAAAAGCAAAAAUGAUGAAAAUUGAACAAUGUUAACAUUUUUAGGGGCCUU
Molecule: long non-coding RNA, 640 nt
Filed under: Equus caballus (horse)
Lineage: Eukaryota; Metazoa; Chordata; Mammalia; Perissodactyla; Equidae
Description: lncRNA (ENSECAG00000058714.1)
Source: RNAcentral